UUAUUUUUUAAUAAUUAAUUUUUAUAUAAUUUUUAUAUAGUUAAUAUUUUAGUUAUUUAUAGGAAUAAAUAUUAUAAUAUAAUAAUAUUUUAAUAAUGAUAAAAUAAGUAUUUUAUAUAUAUAAAAUAUAGUAACUCGGCAAAUAUUAUUUUCGCCUGUUUAACAAAAACAUGGUCUUUUGUUUAUAUAAAAGAUCUAACCUGCCCUAUGAUUUAUUUAAAUGGCUGCAGUAUUUUGACUGUACAAAGGUAGCAUAAUCAUUUGUCUUUUAAUUGAAGGCUUGUAUGAAUGGUUGGAUGAAAAAUAUACUUUCUUUAUUUUAUAUAAAAAAUUUAAUUUUCUAGUCAAAAAGCUAGGAUUUUUUUAUAGGACGAGAAGACCCUAUAGAACUUUAUUUUCUUUUUUUAUAAACUUUAUAGAUAAAUAUAAGUUUAUAUAUUUUUGUUAAUUUUGUUGGGGUGAUUGAAAAAAUUUUUUAACUUUUUCUAUUUUUUACAUUUAUAUAUGUUUUUUUGAUCCUUUAUUAUGGAAUAAAAGAUUAAGUUACCUUAGGGAUAACAGCGUUAUUUUUUUGGAGAGUUCUUAUCGAUAAAAAAGUUUGCGACCUCGAUGUUGG
RNAcentral lists this ribosomal RNA (616 nucleotides) under Apolygus lucorum. RNAcentral's name for it is "partial 16S ribosomal RNA". The stretch from base 147 to 306 matches the Rfam family "Bacterial large subunit ribosomal RNA", at positions 1791 to 2013 of the family's 2925-position model. Lineage: Eukaryota; Metazoa; Arthropoda; Insecta; Hemiptera; Miridae. The record is from RNAcentral.